RNAcentral lists this ribosomal RNA (492 nucleotides) under uncultured bacterium. Its description in RNAcentral is "partial 16S ribosomal RNA". It matches the Rfam family "Bacterial small subunit ribosomal RNA", at positions 28 to 507 of the family's 1533-position model. The record is from RNAcentral.
GAUGAACGCUAGCUACAGGCUUAACACAUGCAAGUCGAGGGGAAACGGCAUUGAGUGCUUGCACUCUUUGGGCGUCGACCGGCGCACGGGUGAGUAACGCGUAUCCAACCUUCCCAUUACUGUGGGAUAACCUGCCGAAAGGCAGACUAAUACCGCAUAGUCUUCGAUGACGGCAUCAGAUUUGAAGUAAAGAUUUAUCGGUAAUGGAUGGGGAUGCGUCUGAUUAGCUUGUUGGCGGGGUAACGGCCCACCAAGGCUACGAUCAGUAGGGGUUCUGAGAGUAAGGUCCCCCACAUUGGAACUGAGACACGGUCCAAACUCCUACGGGAGGCAGCAGUGAGGAAUAUUGGUCAAUGGACGGAAGUCUGAACCAGCCAAGUAGCGUGCAGGAUGACGGCCCUAUGGGUUGUAAACUGCUUUUGUAUGGGGAUAAAGUUAGGGACGUGUCCCUAUUUGCAGGUACCAUACGAAUAAGGACCGGCUAAUUCCGUG